Molecule: unclassified non-coding RNA, 349 nt
Filed under: soil metagenome
Description: partial contains 5.8S ribosomal RNA, internal transcribed spacer 2, and large subunit ribosomal RNA
Rfam family: 5.8S ribosomal RNA (bases 1-120)
Source: RNAcentral
GAUGAAGAACGCAGCGAAAUGCGAUAAGUAAUGUGAAUUGCAGAAUUCAGUGAAUCAUCGAGUCUUUGAACGCACAUUGCGCCCCCUGGUAUUCCGGGGGGCAUGCCUGUCCGAGCGUCAUUGCUGCCCUCAAGCACGGCUUGUGUGUUGGGCCCCCGCCCCCCGGUCCCGGGGGGCGGGCCCGAAAGGCAGCGGCGGCACCGCGUCCGGUCCUCGAGCGUAUGGGGCUUUGUCACCCGCUCUGUAGGCCCGGCCGGCGCCCGCCGGCGACCCCAAUCAAUCUUUUUCAGGUUGACCUCGGAUCAGGUAGGGAUACCCGCUGAACUCAAGCAUAUCAAUAAGCGGAGGA